Molecule: ribosomal RNA, 468 nt
Filed under: uncultured bacterium
Lineage: Bacteria
Description: partial 16S ribosomal RNA
Rfam family: Bacterial small subunit ribosomal RNA
Source: RNAcentral
GAUGAACGCUGGCGGCGUGCUUAACACAUGCAAGUCGAACGGAAAGGCCCGGCUCUUGCGGGGCGCUCGAGUGGCGAACGGGGGAGUAAAACGCGAGUAAACUGCCCCUGUAUGUGGGAUAACUUUAGGGAACAGGGGCUAAUACCGGGGAGGAGCUCCUGCUGCACGGUGGGGGAUGGAAAGAUUCGGUUGUGGUGGAUGGUCUCGCGGCUUACGCGCUGGAUGGUGGGGUAGUGACUGCCCAAGGUUUUGACGGGUAGCCGGCCUGGGAGGGUGACCGGCCACAUUGGUCCUGCGGGACGGCCCAGACUGCUACGGGCGGCAGCGGUGGGGAACAUUGCGCAGUAGGCGGAAGCCUGAUGCGGCGGCGCCGCGUGCGGGAUGACGGCCUUCGGGUUGUAAACCGCUUUCGCCUGUGCUGAAGAGUGAGUGACGGUAAUGAGUAAAGAAGCACCGGCUAACUACGUG